GCGAACGUUGGCGGCAGGCUUAACACAUGCAAGUCGAGCGCCCGUAGCAAUACGGGAGCGGCAGACGGGUGAGUAACACGUGGGAACGUACCCUUUGGUUCGGAACAACACAGGGAAACUUGUGCUAAUACCGGAUAAGCCCUUACGGGGAAAGAUUUAUCGCCGAAGGAUCGGCCCGCGUCUGAUUAGCUAGUUGGUGGGGUAAUGGCCCACCAAGGCGACGAUCAGUAGCUGGUCUGAGAGGAUGAUCAGCCACACUGGGACUGAGACACGGCCCAGACUCCUACGGGAGGCAGCAGUGGGGAAUAUUGGACAAUGGGCGCAAGCCUGAUCCAGCCAUGCCGCGUGGGUGGUGAAGGCCCUAGGGUUGUAAAGCCCUUUCGGCGGGGAAGAUAAUGACGGUACCCGCAGAAGAAGCCCCGGCUAACUUCGU
RNAcentral lists this ribosomal RNA (433 nucleotides) under uncultured bacterium. Its description in RNAcentral is "bacterial SSU rRNA". It matches the Rfam family "Bacterial small subunit ribosomal RNA", at positions 29 to 506 of the family's 1533-position model. The record is from RNAcentral.